This 66-nucleotide transfer RNA is filed under the name Ovis aries (sheep). It matches the Rfam family "tRNA". From Rfam's summary of the family: Transfer RNA (tRNA) molecules are approximately 80 nucleotides in length. Their secondary structure includes four short double-helical elements and three loops (D, anti-codon, and T loops). The record is from Rfam by way of RNAcentral. Lineage: Eukaryota; Metazoa; Chordata; Mammalia; Artiodactyla; Bovidae.
AUCCAGGUAGCUCAGCGGUAAAGAGUCUGCCUGACAAGCAGGAGACAUGAGUUCAAUCCCUGGAUC